GAUGAACGCUAGCGAUAGGCCUAACACAUGCAAGUCGAGGGGCAUCACAUGAGGCAGCAAUGCCGAUGGUGGCGACCGGCGCACGGGUGAGUAACACGUAUGCAACCUGCCUUCAACAAGGGGAUAACCCGUUGAAAAACGGACUAAUACCCUAUAAUACAGGGGUCCCGCAUGGGGAUAUUUGUUAAAGAUUGAUCGGUUGAAGAUGGGCAUGCGUUCUAUUAGCUGGUUGGUGAGGUAACGGCUCACCAAGGCAACGAUGGAUAGGGGAACUGAGAGGUUUAUCCCCCACACUGGUACUGAGACACGGACCAGACUCCUACGGGAGGCAGCAGUGAGGAAUAUUGGUCAAUGGACGCAAGUCUGAACCAGCCACGUCGCGUGAAGGAAGACGGCCCUACGGGUUGUAAACUUCUUUUAUACGGGGAAUAAAGUGCCCCCACGCGUGGGGUUUUGCAUGUACCGUAUGAAUAAGGAUCGGCUAACUCCGUGCCAGCAGCCG
This 502-nucleotide ribosomal RNA is filed under the name uncultured bacterium. Its description in RNAcentral is "bacterial SSU rRNA". It matches the Rfam family "Bacterial small subunit ribosomal RNA", at positions 28 to 517 of the family's 1533-position model. The record is from RNAcentral.